CUUAUUUUGUCUCAUAUUUGUCAUAAAAUGUAUUUCUACCAAAAACUAUUUUCGCUAGUGAGGCGACUGAGUAUGAAAUUACUUUAGUUGUUCCUCAAAUUUCCUACAAAAUUGAAGUAUUUUAAAACAAGGCUGGUUGGGUGAUCAAGAAAGUGAGAUGAAAACUCUCAAUCCAUUUACAUGAUUUAAUUGAUAAUUUUUUUCUUAUCACUGCCUAAAGAUUAAACCUACUGAAUACUUAAUUAAUCAGGGUGGAAAACUGUGUAUUGUGUGAAAAUGCACAAUGGCCCAAAUAUGUAUGAUUUAUAUGUCUGAAUUUUCAAUCUCAAAAUUGUAGGUUAAGUGUGCUUCUUAAAUACUGGGUAAUUCCUUAUGGCCAAGUAACACAUUUAAAAUGGUGUAAUAAGUCAAUACUCACAAAUGUUUUCGCUCUGAGUUCAAGGUUGGUGAACGUUAACAACACUGAUGCCAUCUUGACAGUGGUGAUGACCUUUGAGAUAAGGGAGAGUCCACAGUGGAAGAAGCCAACGCUCAUAUCCUUGUUAAAGUAGCACCUGGUCCACAAGAGAGCAAUUGUUUGCAGUCCACGGUUACAGACUGGAACAAAAUGACACUGGAAAGAACUCGUGUUUCUUCAAGGAUAAAGGGGAUCCUUUUGAGACUUCCCCAGAGCUCCUGGUGCUCCCAGCAUGACUCAGGCCAUGUACCGCAGGAGGUAGAAAACCCUGCCUAAUCCCUUCAGUGCUUUUACAAAUAUCUAUAUUUCCUUGCUGAGGAGAUCUGAAGAUUACCGCUACAGCCCAUGUAUCUGUGGACAAUGAGUUAUUAUUAUCCGCACAUGGUGGUUUUUCAUCGGCCCAGCAAUCUAUUAUAUGGCCAAGCAGCUUUUCUGCUGUGGAUCUUGGG
Molecule: long non-coding RNA, 906 nt
Organism: Dicentrarchus labrax (European seabass)
Lineage: Eukaryota; Metazoa; Chordata; Actinopteri; Moronidae
Source: Ensembl